CACUAGUACUGAACUAGUACUGCUACUACUUUUCAUCAAAAGAAGAAAUGGAGACGAAAUCGCCAUGUCCGCCGUACACGGUGACCGUUCGCCGGAACCCUCCCCGGAGAGCAAGACCGACACCAUCCUCCGCUGUUCCUACUACGCUUCCCCGAUCGCCGCCGCCAAACAUCUCUUCAUUCCCCAUUGAGGAUAUUCUAUCAAUAGAAGUCCCUGAAAAACAACUUCUUACGGAGCAUCCAUCAUCAUCAGAGAAUCUCAAGGUAUAUCUGAGAGUUCGACCAUUAAUUUCUCAACGAGAAACAGCGAAAAUAGAAAAAACGGCUGCUGAAAUGAAGAAAACAACUAAAAAUGCUUGGCCUAAAAACCCUAAGUCCACCAAUGCGUUGCCGAAGAAGCUCAAAAAGAGUAAUGAAGUCUGCGUGACAGUGAAUGAUGCACAUUCCGUUACCCUAUUGCCUCCGCAGAGCUUACAAGACGCCAAACGUAUUAAAUCAGAAGUUUAUGAAGGUUUUUCACAUGUCUUCUCGUCACAAGCUUCUCAGAGGGAAGUGUACGAAGAAAUAGUGAAUCCUUUAGUUGAGGAUUUUUUGAAGGGUAAGAGUGGAAUGUUAGCUGCAUUGGGACCAAGUGGUUCUGGGAAGACUCAUACCAUCUUUGGCUGUGGAAGGGACCCUGGUAUGGUGCCUCUUGCUCUUCGUCGAAUUUUAUCACAGGAAGAAGGAGAGAAGAAGAAGUCGCGAAGGAUAUUUUAUUUGUCCAUGUUUGAGAUCUCUUCUGAGAAAGGAAAAUCUGAAAAGAUAUUUGAUUUAUCACAAGAUGGGGCUGAUUUAUGCAUCCAACAAUCAUCUAUUAAAGGCGUGCGAGAGGCCGUACUUUAUGAUGCGCAGCAAGCUGAAUCGUUAAUCGCAUGUGGACUUUUAAAACGUGCGACAGCUAUGACGAAUUCAAACAGUCAAUCUAGUCGUUCACAGUGCAUCAUAAAUAUCCGCUGUGAAUAUAAGAGGGCAGAUGGAAAAGUUGGUGAUAAUUCAAACAGUGCUGUGCUGACUAUAGUUGACCUUGCUGGAGCUGAGAGGGAAAAGAAGACUGGAAAUCAGGGGGUUAGAUUGCUCGAAAGUAAUUUUAUCAACAACACUUCGAUGGUGUUUGGCCUGUGCUUAAAGUCAUUACUGGAGCAUCAGAAGAACCCCAGAAAACCUAUGCAGAAACACUUUCAAAACUCUCUGUUGACCAGAUACUUACGAGAUUAUUUGGAAGGGAAGAAGCGGAUGGCAUUGCUUCUAACUGUAAGACCUGGGGAAGAAGACUACCUUGAUACUUCUUUUCUGCUAAGGCAGGCUUCACCAUAUACAAAAAUCAAGUUUGACAUUGUUGAAGAACAUGGGAUUUUAAAGCACAAUAAGAGGCCUGUGCAAACAACGCCUAGCAUGGGGAAGCUUAAAAGAAUGAAGUUGAGUCGAAUUGAAAAUUGUGAGAUCAAUCAAAGAAGCUAUGAAUGUCAACUUCCGAAUGAAGAAGCUGCUGUGGAAGGAGUGAAGGAUGACAGCUUGGCAGACGUUCUUGUUCAGCCUGAGGAGAUCAUCACUAUUGAAGCAAAUGAGAGGAAUAUUCUCAGAGUUGAUCACGUGGAAUUGGAAAGAAAAGAGAGAAAUCAUCAGAUUCUGCAAAAUUUUGGAAAGGCUUUGUGGAAAGUCUUGAAAGAAUACAAGAGAAAACUUGAGGUGGCUGAAAAUGAAAUUUGCACCCUCAGAGAUUGCUUAAGUAGUGAGAAAACUAGAUCCGCUGAACUAGAGAAUCAACUGAGGGAUUGGCAAAGUAACUGCUGCUGCAGGAAAGGAGUUUCAAGUGAGGAAUCCUCCAGAGAAGAGGAUGAAUUCAGAGGAAAAGGUUCAUUAGAUUGUGAGGCGCGUCAAUCCACUGAUCAGAAUGAGGUGGAUGAAAAUGAAACCUGCACUCCUAGAGACUGCAUAAUCAUCGAGAAAACAAGAUGGGCUGAACUAGAGAAUGAACUGAUGGAUUGGCAAAGUAACUGCUGCUGCAGGAAGGGGGUUUCAAGUGAGGUUUCCUUCAGAGAAGUGGAUGAACUCAGAAGAAAAAGUUCUUUAGAUCUUGAGGAUCAUCAAUCCAUUGGCUGCAAUGAGGUGACGUCUGAAGCUUAUUCUUGUCCUUUGGAAGGAUCUGCGCAUGCGAGAAAUGAUGAGCGGCUUGACUCCACUAUUGCUCAGCAGCUCGAAAGUUCUAUUGAAGAUGCUACUGGUGUUGAAGAUCUGAUGAAACCAAAUGAAAUGAAAGCAGAGAUUACACAGUUGAAUGGCAAAGCAACUGCUGUAUUAAGCGGGUCACACUCUUGCACUGAUCAGGAGUACGAGCAAGAAGAAGAAAGUUCUGGUAAUUCUGUAGUCCGCACUUCCAAAGCGACUUUCAUAAACAGAGAUGAGAACGACCUGUUGGAAGAGGACCGCACGUUUUCUGAUUCAGUACUUCCAGAAUGUUCAGUCAGCUCUUCUAAGUCAUCUCUCUUCGUUGGAAAUAAGAGCCCUUUUCAAAUGUGGGAGGACCAAACACAAAAAGAAGAGGACAAGGUGAAGUCAGAUGCACAUACGGGAACUGAGGAGCGGCUUGACUCCACAACUGCCCAGAAGCUUGAAAGAUCUAUUGAAGAUAUUACUGGUGUUGAAGUUCCGAAGAUUCCAGAUGGAAUGAAAGCAGAGAGUAUAAAUUUGAAAGGCAAAGAAAAUGCUCUGUUAUGUGGGUCACCCUCUUGCACUGAUCAGGAGUACGAGCAAGAAGAGGAAAGUUUUGUCUGCACUUCCCAAGCGACUUCCGUAAACAGAGACGAGAACGACCUGUUGGAAGAGGACCACACGCUUUUUGAUUCAGUACUUCCAGAAUGUACAGUCAACUCUUCUGAGUCAUCUCUCUUCAUUGAAAAUAACCGCUCUUUUCCAGUGGUGGAGGACCAAACACAAAACAAAGAGGAUAAGACUGCUGAGCAGCUCGAAAGUUCUAUUGAAGAUGCUACUGGUGUUGAAGAUCUGAUGAAACCAAAUAAAAUGAAAGCAGAGAUUACAUGUUUGAAUGGCAAAGCAACUGCUGUAUUAAGUGGGUCACGCUCUUGUACUGAUCAGGGGGACGGGCAAGAAAUGGAAAGCUCUGGUAGUAGUAAAGUUCUGAAUCCUAUUGGCGUUGAAGAUCUGAAUCCUACCGGUGUUGAAAAUCUGAUGAAACCAAAUAAAAUGGAAGCAGAGAUUACACGUUUGAAUGGCAAAGCAACUGCUAUAUUAAGUGGGUCACGCUCUUGUACUGCUCAGAAGGACGGGGAAGAAAUGGAAAGUUCUGAUUUUGCAGUCUGCACUUCCCAAGCAACUUUCAUAAAUGAAGACGAGGCCAGCCCGUUCGAAGAGGAUCAUGCCCUUUUUGAUUCAGGACUUCCAGAAUGUACAGUCAACUCUUCUGAGUCAUCUGUCGUCGUUGAAUAUAACAACUCUUUUGCAGUGGUGGAGAACCAAACACAAAGUGAAGAGGACAAGCGACUAAUUUGCCUUCCCUUACCAGUAUAUGCAUGGAAGAUAUUUUCGAGAUUUUUCUUCUGCUCCAUUUAUCAGAAAGAAACCAUUGGGUCCAUCGACAAUGUUAAUGCCCGAGGAAGUUGUACAUGCUCUAGGAUGCCAUGAUAACAACACACCUGAAGCAGUUACCAAAUAUGGUUCCUGCACUAAAUUUCAGAAUGCAGAUAGGCCAAAAAGGAGACUUCUACCAGUUUCGUCUAUCUUAUUAAAAGAUAUAGGCAAUAUAGACUUCAAGGACGAGAAUGAGAAACCAAAGGGAGUCAAGGCAGAAAAGAAAGGAUCUUCUCGUAAGAACAGAACCCAGGGCAGCACUUCGCUUUUUCGUUUGCUCAAGGAUAAUCUUGCUAUCUAGUUCAUUAUGGACUGCAUUCAAGGUUUCCUCUGCAAUAAACGACACUGUUCUAGGGGUGUAAGUUUGAGAUUGUAUAUAAGGUCAUUCAAAUCCUUUUGACGACUCGCAGUUGCUUUUUGUGCCUCACAAACAGCAUCUUUGUUUAAACUGGCUAGACCUUUUCCUUUAGGAAGAGGCCUAACUCCUCAAAAUGCUACUCUGAUUAUUUUGAAAGCUCGUGAGCUUCUCUGAGAAUUGUAAUGCCUUUAUUUUUUCUAACGUCCACGUGAUUUUAAAUCUUUUUUUUGUCCCAGAAUUAUUUUAUAUUCAAGUAUUUAUGGAUGACAAGGUUCAUAUAUGUUCUCCGUGGACAAUAUAUUACUUUGGGAUAACAUUUUCUGCA
Molecule: RNA transcript, 4306 nt
Organism: Nicotiana attenuata
Lineage: Eukaryota; Viridiplantae; Streptophyta; Magnoliopsida; Solanales; Solanaceae
Gene name: kinesin-like protein KIN-6
Exons: 26
Source: RefSeq, a predicted model, not a curated record